AGUGAACGCUGGCGGUAGGCCUAACACAUGCAAGUCGAACGGCAGCACAGUAAGAGCUUGCUCUUACGGGUGGCGAGUGGCGGACGGGUGAGGAAUACAUCGGAAUCUACUUUUUCGUGGGGGAUAACGUAGGGAAACUUACGCUAAUACCGCAUACGACCUACGGGUGAAAGCAGGGGAUCUUCGGACCUUGCGCGAUUGAAUGAGCCGAUGUCGGAUUAGCUAGUUGGCGGGUAAAGGCCCACCAAGGCGACGAUCCGUAGCUGGUCUGAGAGGAUGAUCAGCCACACUGGAACUGAGACACGGUCCAGACUCCUACGGGAGGCAGCAGUGGGGAAUAUUGGACAAUGGGCGCAAGCCUGAUCCAGCCAUACCGCGUGGGUGAAGAAGGCCUUCGGGUUGUAAAGCCCUUUUGUUGGGAAAGAAAAGCAGCAGGUUAAUACCCCGCUGUUCUGACGGUACCCAAAGAAUAAGCACCGGCUAACUUCGU
Molecule: ribosomal RNA, 490 nt
Filed under: uncultured bacterium
Lineage: Bacteria
Description: partial 16S ribosomal RNA
Rfam family: Bacterial small subunit ribosomal RNA
Source: RNAcentral